This 330-nucleotide unclassified non-coding RNA is filed under the name Hevea brasiliensis (rubber tree). Lineage: Eukaryota; Viridiplantae; Streptophyta; Magnoliopsida; Malpighiales; Euphorbiaceae. The record is from RNAcentral.
UCCUGAUUAUGCCCAUUAUAAGACGAAGGCUAAAAAGUCUAGGAAACUCAUUCUUUUACAUUGACCGGGCAUAGCUAAGUUGUUCACAGUGAAUCACAUCUUCAACGAGGGCUACAGAGAAAUUAACAUGCAUAGGAGCAACGAGCCAAAGUUCACUGUUGCAAUAGAGACGAAAUGCCAGCAAUAUCUCUUCACCCCCACUGCCAGAAUCAUCACCAAUAGACCCCAAUGGAAGCCAUUCUGCUACUUCUUGGAAAAUAGUACAUAUAUUACUCAGUCUACAUUGAGAAAACAAACCACCUCUCAUUCCCCAUUGCCGCAGUUGAGCCG